Phyllostomus discolor (pale spear-nosed bat) is the source of this 119-nucleotide long non-coding RNA. RefSeq lists it as uncharacterized. The transcript is spliced from 3 exons. Lineage: Eukaryota; Metazoa; Chordata; Mammalia; Chiroptera; Phyllostomidae. The record is from RefSeq and is a predicted model, not a curated record.
UCUGCUGCCCCCUGUUACACAGAUAUACUCAGCCUCGUCCUCAGACUGGAGGUUGGAGAUGGUCAAGUAGCGGUCGGCCCCAGAGCUGGAGCCCGAGAAGCGAUCGGGGAUCCCUUCCC